GUGAGGAAUUUUCCGCAAUGGGCGAAAGCAGGACGGAGCAAUGCCGCGUGAAGGAUGAAGGCCUAUGGGUAGUAAACUUCUUCUCUUAGAGAAGAAUAUUGACGGUAUCUGAGGAAUAAGCAUCGGCUAACUCUGUGCCAGCAGCCGCGGUAAGACAGAGGAUGCAAGCGUAAUCCGGAAUGAUUGGGCGUAAAGCGUCUGUAGGUGGCUUCAAAGGUCUCCUGUCAAAGAUCAGGGCUUAACCCUGGGGCGGCAGGCGAAACUAUGGGGCUAGAGUUUGGUAGGGGCAGAGGGAAUUCCCAGUGGAGCGGUGAAAUGUGUAGAGAUCGGGAGGAACAACAAAGGCGAAAGCACUCUGCUGGGCCACAACUGACACUGAGAGACGAAAGCGAGGGGAGCAAAAGGGAUUAGAAACCCUGGUAGUCC
This 426-nucleotide ribosomal RNA is filed under the name uncultured bacterium. RNAcentral describes it as "partial 16S ribosomal RNA". It matches the Rfam family "Bacterial small subunit ribosomal RNA", at positions 354 to 796 of the family's 1533-position model. The record is from RNAcentral.